RNAcentral lists this ribosomal RNA (497 nucleotides) under uncultured bacterium. RNAcentral describes it as "partial 16S ribosomal RNA". It matches the Rfam family "Bacterial small subunit ribosomal RNA", at positions 28 to 507 of the family's 1533-position model. The record is from RNAcentral.
GAUGAACGCUGGCGGCGUGCCUAAUACAUGCAAGUCGAGCGAACGGACGAGAAGCUUGCUUCUCUGAUGUUAGCGGCGGACGGGUGAGUAACACGUGGAUAACCUACCUAUAAGACUGGGAUAACUUCGGGAAACCGGAGCUAAUACCGGAUAAUAUUUUGAACCGCAUGGUGCAAAAGAGAAAGACGGUCUUGCUGUCACUUAUAGAUGGAUCCGCGCUGCAUUAGCUAGUUGGGAAGGUAACGGCUUACCAAGGCAACGAUGCAUAGCCGACCUGAGAGGGGGAUCGGCCACACUGGAACGGAGACGCGGUCCAGACUACUACGGGAGGCAGCAGUAGGGAAUCUUCCGCAAUGGGCGAAAGCCUGACGGAGCAACGCCGCGUGAGUGAUGAAGGUCUUCGGAUCGGAAAACUCUGUUAUUAGGGAAGAACAUAUGUGUAAGUAACUGUGCACAUCUUGACGGUACCUAAUCAGAAAGCAACGGCUAACUACGUG